Molecule: ribosomal RNA, 253 nt
Filed under: uncultured bacterium
Lineage: Bacteria
Description: partial 16S ribosomal RNA
Rfam family: Bacterial small subunit ribosomal RNA
Source: RNAcentral
GACGUAGGGCGCGAGCGUUGUCCGGAUUUAUUGGGCGUAAAGAGCUCGUAGGCGGCUUGUCGCGUCGUCCGUGAAAACCUGCGGCUCAACUGCAGGCUGGCGGUCGAUACGGGCAGGCUGGAGUUCGGUAGGGGAGACUGGAAUUCCUGGUGUAGCGGUGAAAUGCGCAGAUAUCAGGAGGAACACCGGUGGCGAAGGCGACAUCCUGGACCGGUAUUGACGCUGAGGCGCGAAAGCCAGGGGAGCAAACGGG